This 155-nucleotide ribosomal RNA is filed under the name uncultured bacterium. RNAcentral's name for it is "partial 16S ribosomal RNA". It matches the Rfam family "Bacterial small subunit ribosomal RNA", at positions 1345 to 1500 of the family's 1533-position model. The record is from RNAcentral.
CGGAUCAGCAUGCCGCGGUGAAUACGUUCCCGGGCCUUGUACACACCGCCCGUCACACCAUGGGAGCCGGUAAUACCCGAAGUCAGUAGUCCAACCUCGUGAGGACGCUGCCGAAGGUAGGAUUGGCGACUGGGGUGAAGUCGUAACAAGGUAGC